This 551-nucleotide small RNA is filed under the name Pongo abelii (Sumatran orangutan). RNAcentral's name for it is "retained intron". The record is from RNAcentral. Lineage: Eukaryota; Metazoa; Chordata; Mammalia; Primates; Hominidae.
ACUGAGCCUUAGUCGUCGGCGAGUCUCAGGCGCGAAGUUUCUCGGCCCGGAGGAGGGGGUCGUGCGAAGUGCCAGAUGCAGGCGGGGAAGCCCAUCCUCUAUUCCUAUUUCCGAAGCUCCUGCUCAUGGAGAGUUCGAAUUGCUCUGGCCUUGAAAGGCAUCGACUACGAGACGGUGCCCAUCAAUCUCAUAAAGGAUGGGGGCCAACAGGUAAGAAGGCUGUGCCCAGACCACAAUGUGGGAAUUGGAGGCCUUGAACAGGCACCAGGCAGGGGAAGAAGGGGAGGCUCUGCCCCAGAGAAGUGAACCUGUGUCUUGUGGACUAUCACUGCAGGAGGCUGCUGGCUCUCCCUUGUGGGACAACGUGGCAAGCUGUGCAGUAGCAGGAGGCCUGGGAAGGGCCCAGGUCCAGGCUGUGUACCCCAGCCUGGGCUCUCCAGUGCCUGACCCUGGGAGAGUGGGUGGCGAGUGGGUCCCCACCCCAUACUGGGCCCUCUGGAUGGCUGACUAGGGUAGGAGCCGCCUUGGUGGCCACGGCGUGAGAUGCAGGG